GCGGCAAUGGUUUAAGGGUAAAAUCCAAGCUUCCCACGCUUCAUACGUAGCCUGCUUGGGCUCCGAGUUCGAGUCUCGGUUGCCGCA
Molecule: non-coding RNA, 87 nt
Organism: Alternaria ethzedia
Lineage: Eukaryota; Fungi; Ascomycota; Dothideomycetes; Pleosporales; Pleosporaceae
Source: the annotation of a RefSeq genome assembly